UACGUAGGGGGCAAGCGUUGUCCGGAUUUACUGGGCGUAAAGAGCGUGUAGGCGGCCAAGCAGGUCCGUUGUGAAAACUGGAGGCUUAACCUCCAGACGUCGACGGAAACCGCGUGGCUAGAGUCCGGAAGAGGAGAGUGGAAUUCCUGGUGUAGCGGUGGAAUGCGCAGAUAUCAGGAAGAACACCAACGGCGAAGGCAGCUCGCUGGGACGGAACUGACGCUAAGGCGCGAAAGCGUGGGGAGCGAACAGG
Molecule: ribosomal RNA, 253 nt
Filed under: uncultured bacterium
Lineage: Bacteria
Description: partial 16S ribosomal RNA
Rfam family: Bacterial small subunit ribosomal RNA
Source: RNAcentral